CUCCAGUUGAUCGCAUGGUCUUCUGGGAAAGCUUUCGCGGUAUGGGAUGGGGUCGCGUCCUAUCAGCUUGACGGCGGGGUAACGGCCCACCGUGGCUUCGACGGGUAGCCGGCCUGAGAGGGCGACCGGCCACAUUNGGACUAAGAUACGGCCCAGACUCCUACGGGAGGCAGCAGUGGGGAAUAUUGCACAAUGGGCGCAAGCCUGAUGCAGCGACGCCGCGUGAGGGAUGGAGGCCUUCGGGUUGUAAACCUCUNUUNUCGGGGAGCAAGCGAGAGUGAGUUUACCCGUUGAAUAAGCACCGGCUAACUACGUGCCAGCAGCCGCGGUAAUACGUAGGGUGNAAGCNUUAUCCGGAAUUAUUNGGCGUAAAGGGCUCGUAGGCGGUUCGUCGCGUCCGGUGUGAAAGUCCAUCGCUUAACGGUGGAUCCGCGCCGGGUACNGGCGGGCUUGAGUGCGGUAGGGGAGACUGGAA
This 475-nucleotide ribosomal RNA is filed under the name uncultured Bifidobacterium sp. 3-4A. Its description in RNAcentral is "bacterial SSU rRNA". It matches the Rfam family "Bacterial small subunit ribosomal RNA", at positions 173 to 666 of the family's 1533-position model. Lineage: Bacteria; Bacillati; Actinomycetota; Actinomycetes; Bifidobacteriales; Bifidobacteriaceae. The record is from RNAcentral.